RNAcentral lists this ribosomal RNA (388 nucleotides) under uncultured soil bacterium. RNAcentral describes it as "bacterial SSU rRNA". It matches the Rfam family "Bacterial small subunit ribosomal RNA", at positions 94 to 526 of the family's 1533-position model. The record is from RNAcentral.
AGUGGCGACCGGGUGAGUAACACGUGACUACCUGCCCUCGAGUGGGGAAUAACUCCGGGAAACCGGGGCUAAUACCGCAUAACCGCAAGCAAAGCAGCGCUUGAGGAGGGGGUCGCGGCUGAUUAGCUAGUUGGUGAGGUAACGGCUCACCAAGGCGAAGAUCGGUAUCCGGCCUGAGAGGGCGCACGGACACACUGGAACUGAAACACGGUCCAGACUCCUACGGGAGGCAGCAGUGGGGAAUUUUGCGCAAUGGGGGAAACCCUGACGCAGCAACGCCGCGUGGAGGAUGAAGCCCUUUGGGGCGUAAACUCCUUUCGACCGGGACGAUUGACGGUACCGGUGGAAGAAGCACCGGCUAACUCUGUGCCAGCAGCCGCGGUAAUAC